This 29447-nucleotide long non-coding RNA is filed under the name Brassica rapa (field mustard). Its description in RNAcentral is "long non-coding RNA (BRAP_LNC006008)". The record is from RNAcentral. Lineage: Eukaryota; Viridiplantae; Streptophyta; Magnoliopsida; Brassicales; Brassicaceae.
UGACAUGAAAACAACAACUUAAAGCAACAUCACCAUCAAACAUAGAAAUAUUUGAAAGCAGCAACCUUUAGAACCAAACCCAUAUGAUUCCUUUCACACUUUUUACCCAUUUCUUCUCAGAUAAAGUUUUGGUCCAAGAUAUUAUAUAAAUAUAAAUAUCAUACGGUUUCUUUUCCUCUUGUCCUCCUCAUUAAUUAAUGCAAGAUGAGUCUUGAGAGUGUAAUAGUAUAUCUUAGUGCUCAACAGCAACUAUUUCAGAUACCUCAAUGGACUCGGCUCUUUCUUCAUCCAUCCUUGAAGAUACAGUCUCAUCUGAGCCUUCUACAUUAUCAUUAGAUGAUGAUACAGUCACUUGUGCUUCCUCUUCUGUGAGAUGUGAAGUUUCUGCAUCUUUUUCAGGUUUCGUUUUUUCAGGUUUAAACUUUGCUGAUGUUGUCACGGCUUUUCCAUCAGGGAGAGUUGUUUCUGAGAUGGCAAUCUUGGAAGUGACUGGCGCAACAGUUGCUUCUUGUGAUCAACUGUUGGCACAAUUCCCUUGGAAGUUGAGUUAUCUUUAGAAGCUUUCUCAUCUAGGCUCAGUCUAGCGAGGCGAGGAGUUUGAGUUCCUUCAGAUUCAGUCUUUUUUUCGCCCGAUUUGGAGAUUUUGGUCUUGUUGGUGGUAUCUAUUUGGAAGUAAAUAACAAUGAGAACUAGUACUUCGUUACAAGGUGAGAUCAUGGUUGAGAAGAGAGCAUAAGUACCUUCUUUAACUCUGUUUUUGGAGGCAGAGGUUAUUGAUAAAAGCUAGGCAUCGGUGUGGCUUUGAAGUUCAAGCUCUUCCUUAGCUUCCUAAGCUCAUUUGUUGUGUUUCCUGCAAAAGUACCAAGAGUGUUGGGUAUAUAAAAAAGUAGAUGGAGAACACUAUGAAAAAGAAGAGGGUUUAAGAAGACAACCUUGGACUUGGCUUGCAUGUUAUUAAUCUCUUCUUCUUUUGCGUGACUCGUUUCCUCAAGCUUGCACCAUACGUAAACAGAGAUAUGAUUACUUUAAAACAUGUUUCUGAAGAGAGGACAAUCAAGUGGAUAGAAACACAAACCUCUCUUCUCUUCUCAGCACGUUGGUCGCAUUUGAAACUGAACCUAUAAUUUGGAAAUGCACCAACUUUGCAAGGUUUGCUAUCAUCUGCUUGCGGGUUACUAAGAAACCAUAAAGUUUUAUAAUUAACAUAAAUGCUAUAAAAGAGAGCCAACAUGUAGAAAGGCCACAGGAAAGAAGAGGUGGUAAAAAUAUAAAGGUGAAACAAAUACUUAGAAGACUGAGUAUCAUCUUCAGAUGUUUCAUGGACUUGUUUCUUUUGAGGCUUUGCUUUCACCUUGUCCCUGUAACAAAGAUAAAUGAUAUGACUUAGGACCAAUGCCUAUGAUAACAUCAAAGAUCGUAUCUACAGGAAAUACUCGUUUUCUUGAUGAAUCAGCUCAAGAAUUACAACAAUGGAGGAUUCUAUCACCUGAAUCCUCAACUACUGUAUCACCUGAGUAGAUACGAUUGCAAUAUCUCGAUAACCGUCUAAUAGACUCUUAGCUAGUAUUUAUAUCUUUUCUCAUGUACAAGCACAUGACUUAAUUUGUAUCUGUAAAACUUCAAGCUUCUUUAUUGCACUUCGAGCUUCCACUCUUCUUAAGUCUCCUCCUCUCAUACGUAUGCUUGUACCUAUCAAUACUCCGAGAGCAAGCUUGCCCUCAAGCUUGUAGUCUGGAAAAUGACUCACAAACUCAUCCAAACACAUCCAAGAAUUAUCAUGCUCCAACGAAAUCCUUCAACGCACUAACAAUUCCACACCACCAUCCUCUCGUACACGAGAAGCGAGCACUUCUUCUGGUUCCACCAUAAUGUUCUCCAAAUCCGUACACGUCGGAGGAAUUCUCUGAAGCACUUGGUCCUAACCCAAAGCAGCCUUCAAUUGGGAAAUAUGAAAGACAUGAUGGAUCUUAGACUCUGCGGGUAAACUAAGCGAUAAGCAACUUUACCCACACGCUCGGUAAUCUCAUAAGGACCAAAGUACUUAGCAGCCAGCUUCUGACAGUAGCGCUUAACCACUGUGUUUUGACGAAAUGGCUUCAACUUUAGAUAGACAAUAUCACCCACGGCAAACUGAACAUCUCUCCUAUGUUUGUCUGCCUGAGAUUUCAUCAAAGAUUGAGCUCUAGCCAAAUGAAGACGAAUCUGAGCCAAUAUUGCAUCACGCUCCUUCAGUGCAGACUCCAACUCAAAGUUUCGUGUGGAACCGUCUUCAAAACGCACCAGCUGUGGAGUAUCACGUCCAUAGACAACCUGAAACGGAGUUGCUUUCAGGGCCGUGUGGAAAGACGUGUUAUACCACAGCUCAGACCAAGGCAGAAACUUGCACCAAGUCUUAGGAUGGUCUGAUGCAAAGCAGCAUAGGUAGGUCUUCAUACAGCGGUUCAGUACCUCCAAUUGUCCAUCCGCCUGGGGGUGAAAAGCGGUACUAUACUUCAGCUUAGUCCCCAAGAGACGAAAUAACUCCUUCCAAAAAUUGCUCAAAAAUAUUCGAUCUCAAUCAGACACGAUAGUCUUAGGAAAACUGUGAAGACGCGUAUUUAAAUGGAUUCUUGCGAGUUUUGGUGCAGACACGUAUUUAAUUGCUCCUCUUAGGGGUUUUCUAAUAUUUAUUUUUUCUCCUGUUGUAAUUGAAUUAGGGCUCUCAAGAUAGGAAGACCUUCGAUGUUGGUACUAAUCUUUUCAUUGGAAACCUUGACCCCGUACGUAUAUAUGAUAUAUGGUGGUAACUAUAUUGUGAAAUAUUGGUAUUUCAUUACAACAGCUGAUUAGGUUUUGCUUUUACAGGAUGUGGAUGAAUAGAUCGUGUAUGAUACUUUCAGCACAUUUGGUGGCAUUGCUUCUAAUCCUAAGGUAAAAUCUUUAUUGUUGUUGAUAAUAUAUUAUCUGUAAUCUAUGAUUAAUAUGUCAUUGUGGUGGGGAAAAAGAAUGGCUGUACGCUUAAGAAUCUGAUGCUCUGAAAUAUUCAUUUCAGAUCAUUUGAAGUUUACAGACCGGGUGUUGGCUCCAAGUUGUCCCCAGAUCUCAGAAGCCGUUACCCUUGCCCAGUGGAUCUCCUAAAGUUACACGUGAGUUUUCUUUCUUUCAUUACAAACCUCGAGCUAACUAAUGAUGAUGUCUUAAGUUUAAUGUUUGUUGUUACAGUCACCACUUAGGCUCGGAGUUAGUAAACGAUUGUCUCUCUUGGAAGCAAGACUCUGUUAAAACUUAUAUGGAAUCACCAAGAUGCCAUCUUGUGUUGCUCUUUAAAGGUGAGUCAGAGUGUCCAUAGGGUAGUUAUAAACUUUUUAACCGUGCUUGGUUUAAUAUAGUCUAUGUUAUGUUUGCAGCCUCAACCAGUGUUUAUGUUCGCGAACCAAGCUGGUUUAGACAUGCUAGGGACAACGCUUGUACCUUACAAGACAUUGCACUGGAAAAGGUCUUUGAUUAAUCUGGUCGAAAGGCUCUCUGCUCAGACUUUGCCAAGCUAAUACAACAGGUAAAAAAGAAACAAAACAAACCCUUACGGUCCUAAGAUAAUGUCUUCGACUCAUUAGUCUUGUCUCUACAGGGAUUUGCGUGCUUGCCUUCAGGAAUCUGUUUGUCUACAAUGGGGGACAUGUCACUUAUGAACAAGUUGUUGCUUGGAAAGUGUUUGCUGUAUCCGAUAAUGACAAUAAUAAUAAUUUGCAUUGUCUUGCUUCCUCCUUUGUAAACUGGUCGUUUGUGUAGUCUCAUCUCUGAUGAAUGUAUUAGUAAAGGCUAAUCAAAUUUACAUUAUAGACAACACUCUUUUUGUUGUUGUUGUGGAAGUGUCUUGUCUCUUUUUUGAUCAAAUUUUCAUUGUGUUUUACAUAUAUAUAUUUAAGCCUUUAAUCAUAUACUUAAAGAGAAACAAAUAAUCAUCCGUUAAAACGAACUAUUUUCAGAACUUCAUGCACCUAGCUGGUAAACCUGUCUGAUGAUUAACAGCAACAAUCUCAGAGACAUUGUUGCAAAGAAGAACGUCUUGACCAAGCUUAGCACCUGCAGGUUUAAGACCUUUGAGAGAAACCGGAACGUUAAAGAGGUUGAGUGAUGGAAGCUUUGAAACAAGAGGAAGUUUCAGGUUCGGUAAGAAGUUUCUAAAAUCAGCCAUAAACAAAGGAACUUCGAAGUCGGUUUUGUUGUGUUUCACCGCGUUGUCUUUAGCUGCAAUGUGAGCUGGCUCCAUAUCGUUGGUUGAGAAGCUUUGUUGGUUAGGGAAGUUUGGGUAGAGACUAACGUACCUCUAAUGUACAUCAUGUCGACCAAGAACUUCUUCCAAAAAGCUUGCCAACCAUUGGUUUUGAGGUUUUCUAAACCUCAUAAUCAAUGAUGUAGGAAUUAAACCUAAAAUAAAAAUAGUUUUAUAAUUUUGACAAAUAGUUUUUUUUAAAUGAUAAUAAAAUUUGAUAAAUUCACUAAAAUACAUUUUAAUAUCUAAACUAUCUAUUUAAAUUAUUAUAAAAAUUCAGCGUGUAGCGCCGGGAAACCACUAGUAACUAAUAAAUGUCACUAGCACAAGCAUUCAAAUACAUGCGUUUUAAAAAAAAACGCACACACAAUAAAUUUACUUUUUAACAAUAAAAAUAAAAAACGAUGGUAAAAUAAUCUGCACAUAUUUUUUUUGACUUUCCAUUCGAGAAGAAAUAUAUACCAAGACACGUGUAUGAAUGUAUAUGCAUAUCAUAUUGUACAUAAUUAGUUUAUACUAGAAUUUAUAACUUUUUUAUAAAAAAUACUUUGGAUUCAAAAUUUCUUUUUGAAACUCAAAAAUUAUGUUUGAAACUAUUUUUAAUUUUUUUAAUAUAAUUUUUAAGUAUUUACUUAUAUAUUUAUUAGAAUCCUAAAUUUCAUAUUCCAAAAACUCUACUCCACCUCUCAACUCUAAACCCUAAGUUUAAAUUAGUUAACUCUAGGAGUAUAAAUUUUUUUGUACCAUUCAUUGAAAGUGAAGGUAAAAAUGGUUAGUGUAAACAUGAAAAAUGAUACUAUGAAUGUGGUAUUUGUGGCAAUUUACUUUCAUUUUUAGUCAAAUGUUAAUAUUAAUUUAUUUAUACAGUAAAAUAUUUUUUGCCAAUCAAAUAUUUUUAUUUAAAAUAUGUUUAUUAUGUUAAUUUAAUAUUUAUAUUAUUUAACUAUAUUGUAUGUUGUAUAUUAUUAUUAUUUAAUUAAUUAAUUUAUUACUGAAUACCGCAAAUAUAUAUUGUCAUCAAUCAAACAAUAUUAUACCGCAUUUUUACUUAAAACCGCAGUUGUACCGUACCACACUCUAAUUCCGCACGAACCGUAGUUGCACUGUCCCUCACUUAAAUUUUAUAUCGCUUUUAAUAUCAAACUAGAUCUCGAUUUGCGCAACCCCGCGGGUAUUUGUUUGCAGUUAUAUAUAUGUAGAUAUUUAUUUUAGAUCAUUAAUAGUAUACAUUUUUUAAAAAGUUAAUAAUAUAUUAAUGUUUAUAUAACUAUUUCAGAUACAAUAAUUUAAUAAUUUAUACUUUAUAUGUUGUAGUUAAUCAAUUGUUUAAAACCGUCUUAUGUAUUUGUUGGUUCUUAUUAUAUAUUUAUCUUAAUGCAUUUGCAUUUAGUUAUUAAAAAAAUUAUAUAUGCAUAAAAUAACAUAUUUGAAAAUUAUUUUUUAUUUAAUUUAUGCUAAAUUCUGACCCACUUUUCAAAGUUGGAUUUCCUUUUUGCAAUAUUUAUUUUCUUUUAUUCAUUUAGAUAAUAUAUUAUUUUAUAAAGAAAAAUAUUAAUUUCACACAUGUAGUAUAUAUAGUUUGCUAAUGUUAAGUCGUUUUGUCAUCGUAUUAUAUUUUUAAAAAGAAUAUUUUAUAUUUAUGAAAGCAAAUUUAUCAAUUUAAUAUAAAUUUAUCUUUUUUUCUCAACAUAAUAGUUUUAUUUUAAUAUGACUGAAUAUGAUUAUAAAAUAGGUAAAAAUAUAGAAUUUAUCAUUUUAUAAACGAUAAUUGAAUAUAUAUUAAUGCAUAAUAAUAGUCCAUUUUUAAUUACAAAAUUAGUGGAAAUAUUUAUAUAAACUUUUUGAAAAUUAAAAUAUUGUUAAAAUAUUUAUCAACCGAUUUGUUAGAAUAAACUUUAAAUAUAUAUAUAUAUAUAUUUAAAAUGAAAAGAUAUCAUGAUUUAAGUAGUCACAAAUAUUUUAUAUUAUUAGCUUUAAUGAAAUACAUGUUAAUAUUUAUACAUGUAUUAUAUAGUUUCCUUAACCAUCUUACCAACGUAUUAUAUUUUUGAACAUAGAUAUUUAUAAUUAUGAAAAAUAUUAUAUAAAUUUAUUAAUUUAAAAUAAUAUUACCAUAUUUAGUUCAAUAUAAUAAUUUUAUUUUAAUAUGAUUGAUUAUAAUUAUAUAAAAGAUAAUAAAUAGGAUAUAAUUUUUAUUUUUAUUUUAUAGAUGAUAACUAAAUAUAUUAAUGUAUAAUAAUAUUUCAAAAUUAAUUACGAAAUUAGCAAAAAUAUUUACAUUUAAUUUUUGAAAAUUAAGAUCCUUUAAAGACUUUAUCUUUUAAAUUUAGAAAUCUCAGUAAUAUGCAAGAUAUCUGUGAUCCGAUGAGUUGAGAAAAAUAUCAUAUACCUUGAAAAUUACGUGAAACUUGGGUCUCUGAAUUUUAACCAUGUUCUUGAAUUAAGGUUUAAUAUUCAGUGACACUGCAUAGGAUAGAUGGUGAUCCUUAAUAUACAAGACAGAUUUGAACUCUAGUCAUGUGAACAACACCUAAUGCCUUUGUGUUGAGUUUUUGUUUAAUUAUCUUCUUUGUUUUUAAAAGUCUUAAACAUUGUUACCAUUAUCCUGUUGGCUUUAAAGCUGGUCGAGCUAAUAAUGAAUACACAGGUUACAUGGAGAAUGAAGAAGGUGACAAAGGAACUUAACCAUAUGUGUGUUACUGAUUCGUUUGUGUACGUCAAAGUUUGUGGAAGGUGACAAAGGAACUUAACCAAUCAACGCAGUAAUAAUACCUUUGGUACAAAGCAUUUUCUUAACAGAUGUAAUACAAUUGUCCAUACAUGGGCUCUGAAAUAGAUAAUCUAAUCUAUUCUGUACAAUUUUUUUAAUAAUCUUUAGACAUGUUCUUUAGCUACGAGUUAUCAUUAACUCACACAUGAGUCAAACUAACUUUCUUGACUCUUUAUCAGGUAAUGGCUACUCUACCAUCAGAAGCAGAACUGACAUGGAUGAACAAAUGGUGAAUGAUCAAUACGUCAUGGUAACUUGUGCCGUUAAGCUGAGAAGAUAUGGGCGAGAAGAUAAGGGCUCUAUUCUGUAACCAUUGCGUCGGGACAGCAGCUAAAAGUAUCUCCUCCUUAGAGUAUUCUAAGUCGUAACCCUUACGCCAAAAUUGUUUGGAAAAUAAUCGUAUCUUUUGUAAUAUUUUGUGUGGUCAGUUUAAAUAUAUGAGAACUUCUUAUGGAAUAAAAAGUGAAUAUUCGGAAAGUGAAAUAUUUCUGUUGAAACAUAUUUUUAAUUUUGAUUAUACUUGCUUUGCAAAAAAAAAACAGCCGGUUUUGAAACAGAGCACACUACGAAUGAUUAGUAUGGUUUUAGAUAUAUGUAUGUAUAGUUUUAUAAUUUAUAUGUAUAAUGUUGGUCAAAACUUGUUAACCGGAAGUAUCCCACUACAAAUCUAUUAUAAACAUGUAAAUUUAUCAUAUAUAUAUUUAUAAUGUUGGUCCGAACCGGUUUAUGAUUAAUCUAGUUUUAGAUAGAUGAAUGAAUUUAUAAUGUAUGUAAAAUUCAUGGUCAGAAUUGUGAAAAUAUGAUAUUUUUUUUUAUCAAAUGUUUUGAACAAACCGGCUGAAUAUUUUUAUAAUGUUAGGUGCGAUGGUUCUAAUGAGAUUGACAUUGUAAUGUGUUAACGAUGACGAAAAUGUAUGCUGGUUAACCAAACCGGAUUUUUAGGCUUAUGUGACAUUAUAGUUACGAUUACAGGGAGUAUUUUAGUAAGUUAUAAUGAAGAUAUAGUUAGAGAAUAAAUGUAACAUGACUUUCUAAGAUAGGUCUAAUUCUUAAAAAAAUCACACAUGAAUUAAAGUUGUGACUUUUGUUUUAAUAUAUAAGAUCUGUUGUCACCAUUCGGAGCAUUACUUAGUAUAUAAGAGAUUAAGUUGAAAACAACUAGGAAUUAAUAAAUGAUUGAUGAGAAAUGAAUUCAAACUUUUGGGUCCCCUGUUUAAGAAAUUUCUAUACAUAUAUACCAUUUUCACUGAUUGUAUUUAGAGGAUGAGUUUUCACUCAGUUAAAUAUAAAAAUAAAUAUGAAAAAUAAGAGAAACUAAAAAAUGUCGGAGAGACAAAAACUUCAAAAUCAAUACUAUUAAAACUGAAGGGCAUUUUUUGAGGUGGCCUUGGAGUUUUAAAGUAUUUACAGAUUUCUGCCACUGAAAUAUGUUUAGUCUAUGCUUUUAAUUAAAUGCAUUAUUUUUUUCCAGAAAUAAAACUAUAAGAAAAUAAAAAUAUUGCGAAUCAGUUACGAUAAGGAUAAGGAAUAUUCCAAAAAAAAAUUCAAUUAACCAAAUCUUUUUGAAACUAUUCCUAUCGCAACCUACAAUCCCUUUUAAUAUAUAUAUGCUACCAUCUAUUAAGCUAUUGUGUACCAUCACAAAAAUCUUAAUAUUAUCAUAUGGCAUACAAAAAUCGGCUACGGAGGUGAAGUUUGAAUUGAAAUGAUGAUUAUCAUUUUGGUAAAAUUGGUUGAUCUGAGUGGGAUGUGGGUAUGAUGGGAAAAGCCAAAGGACACUGCUGUUGAAAGAAGAUUGACAUUAUUUGUGGUGCUUUUUGAAGUCAGAUUUGGUCUGCUAUCUCUUAUUUUUUCUUUUAGAAUUGCUCAAGAUUUGUGUGAUGUUAUUAUAGAGAAACAAGAUUUCACUUUUGUUUUCUGGAAACUCCAAAAUGUAACAUUUGAGUUUUUUUUUUCUCCUAAAGACCUGAGUUUUUUAAUGGACUUCGAUAUGAUAUCAUCAUUUUAGUUAUAUAAACCAUUCCUAUACUAUGGUUAAUUUUAGAUAAAUGAUCUGUCGUCUGACACCUUUAAACAAGUGUGAUAUAUUAAUCAUAUUGUUUUGUUUCCUUACUUUUUUAACAACUGUGUUUGUUUCAAAAAACAUCUGUUUUUAUGCUUAGAAAAGUAUUAUGUUUUAAAAAUAAGAAAAAAAAACUUAGAAAACAAAUUUUUAUUAUAUUUUUCUGGUUUCCAUAUCCAAACCAACAGAAAAUCUCAUAAUUUAAAGUAGUCGACUCUUUAUGCUCAAUAUUGUUUUUUCGAUUGUAGAACUGUAUUUUAAAUUCAGAAACUGGGAUAUUCUGAUUAUAUACGAAUAUAAAUUAUUAAUAUAGUAGUUUAUUUCUGAAUAUUUAGUAGCUCAAUAUUUUUAAACCUUAAAUCUCAAAUCAAAGUAUUCUAAAAUAUUCUACCUUUUAAUAAACUAGAAAUAGAUAGUGUUCUAUUUUAUAUGUAAAUAUUCUCAGGAUUGAUUACAAAUAUAUUUUAAACGUUAUGCGUUAAUAAAAAAUUAUUAUAUGUAUGUAUUGAUAAAUAUUAAAUAAUUGUUUAUGUAUCAAUAUUUUAUUUAGUGUUAUGUGAAUCUUUUAAAUCAUAACUACAAUAUAUUGGAAUUUGUUACCCUUUAUUUAAUGUUAUAUGGAUCAAUUAAAUCAUAACCAUAAUAUUAACAAUAUUAACGAUUAUGUAGUCAACAAUUGUUUUUUAAACAAUGAAGAUAUGAGUCUAAAUGAAGAUACUUAGGACUUUAACUAUUUGGACCAGAAUUGUGUGUUAGGAGCUCAAAUAAUAUUUUAUUAAAAGUAACUGAAACUCAAGCAUGAAGACUUUUUUCAGGUAUUUUUUUAUUUUGAAAAUAUUUACAUAUCAUUCUAUUUUAACUUCUUUUUUUUUUGAAAAAAUCUGUUUUAGCUAAUAACAGAUGUUUAUCUAUCAAUACUAUUAAAACAGAAGCAAUAUUUAUCUACUUGCAAGUAUUAUAUGUUGGACAAAUACAUUUAUUAAAUAUCAUUAUAUUUUGACUAAUACCUUUUAUUAAAUGAAAUAUACAGCCUAACCUAACAACUUAUACCAGUAUUUUAGGAGAUAUUUUACUUUAUUUAUGCUAUCUAAAUCUACCCUAUGUUGUCUUUGUGAUAUGUCUGAACUAUACUCCUCCGUUUUAUUUACUCGUGUAAUAUUGAUUCAUUAUUACUUAAUGUUAUACAAAUAUUGUAUUAUAUAUCACAUGUUUACUUUAUGUUAUAUAUUGUUGUUGCUGGACUUUUAUACAGUAACAUAAAUUUUUAACAAAACUAAUGAAACUGAGUCUAAAAACGUAGUUACAUACUCUAUGCUUUCUUAACAAACAAUGACAAUAUAAAACUAAAUAUAUCUUUCUUUCUUUCUUUUUUUGUAAAAGAACUAUAUAUAUCUUUGGGUCAUCAUAAAACCUACAUGUUUUUUUUUUGCGAUCUAAACUUGAAAUUCAUUUCAUAUCGAAAGAUCUAAACUUAUUGAAUAACAAGGUUUCUAUUAAUUUAAUUUAACAAUUAGGUUUAGUUGACAAAAAUUGAGAUUACAAACCAAAAAAAGAGGAUUUGUUUUGGAAUAAAAAUGAUUACAAAUUUUUUCCAUGUAGAAAAUCUAAACUUAUAAAACAAGAAGGAUUUUCAAAAUUUAAAAUUUAAUUUAGUCCGUUUAGUUGAUUUUUUUUGGAAAUAUAAGUUACAUAUCAUGAUUAUAGGAAGCUAAAAACUUUCAAAAUAAAAAGGUUUAAAAAAUAUAUUUGCAUGCUGUUAACAAAGAUUGUCAGAAUGCCAAAAGAUCAGAAAUAUAUUUAUGUAAUUAGAAAACUAUGGCUCUUAGAUUUUAUGCAUAACCUGAAAAUAUUGAGUUUAACAUGUGUAUCAAGAAUAAACUUAUCCCUACAUUUAAUCCUACCAAUAUAUAUAUACUUCACCAACAUAUAUAAAAUAAAAUAAAAUUUGCCAAAACAUUGUAUUGUUAAUAUUUGUAAAACUGAAGCAUCACAAUCAAAAUAUAUCCACCAACAUCUAGACAUUCAUAAAUAUAUAUAUAUAUAUAUAUAUAUAUAUAUUAAAAUGCUCUAAAUAUAAUAAUUUAAGUCAAAUCGGAUUAUAUAUCGGGUCAUUCAUUGGUUCAAUUGGUAGUCGAAUCCCGGGUUUUAGCAGGUUUAUAAGAUUUUUAACUAAUGAGUUUUUCUUGAAAAAUAAACUGGAUUAAAUAUCGAAUCACCAGGUUUUCCGAUUUAACCACGGGUCUAGAUCGAGUUUCAAAACACUGAAUAAAAUGUUUCAUUUGUAAUAUUUAAAUGUCGAUAAAUAAUUAUAAAUAUAAAUUUAUAACAAAAAAAAAUUCAUUUCAGAAAUAAUCCCGCGCUUUAAAAGCGCGGGUCAAAAUCUAGUACUUUUAUUAAAUUUGUCAAGCUAUUAUUGGUCUGUUUUUCAUAUUUAAAAUCUAGUUGUAGAUUGGACUAUAUUAUAAAAUACUUUUGUUGAAAAACUUCAACAAUGCUGAUGCUUUUGUUCGUUAGAUCCCAACUGACAAAUCUCAUCACCACUUUGAUAAGCUUCACAAGAUGGCGCCUUAGAUAAGAUAUGUAAGAAGAGAUGGUGCCGGAGGUUCAGCACAGGGCGCCGGAGGUUGAGAAUACGGGGUCGAAGUCGGAGCUUGAGGUUGAACCACACUUGAUAUCAACGUUGACAAAGUGAGUAACUACAUUAGCGUAUUGACAAUACGUGGAGAGAUGCUCUUUUGAAGAUGAAGAAACGAUGUUUAUAUUUUCCAUCACGAUGUUUUGACAAUUUACUAGCUUGUCACAAGCUAGUUUUAUCGCAAUAUCAUCUGCGCAUGUCCCUCUGAAAUUUCUAAAUGUCACAUCGCUCACUUUCACAGCAGUAGCCUGCAUGAUUCACAACAUGAAUACAUUUUUUUUCAAAAAUAUUAAAAACGUAAAAUCAUAUAUAAAUAAUAAAAUGAGUGCUGAAUUUCACAUUCCUAAAGUAUAAGCAAUUUAAAAAAUUUAGUUUCAUAAGUCAAUAUUUGUAAUAGCACAAGUAAUAGUGGUUAUACACAUACUAGUAGAUUAUAAAUUAAUAUCGGUAAAUUCAUAAUAACUAUAAAUUAAUAACUUCAUCUGAUUUUGAGUUGGGCUAGUUCAAAAUAUGACACAAAUCGAUAAAAUAAAAAAAUAAUAUUUUUUAAAAAAAGUUCUAUGUAAAUAUAUGGUCUCAUUAAAAUCAUAAAUUAAUAUAUAUAUAUAUAUACAUUUUAUAUGUGUACAAACAAACCAUUGUAUUGUUUUUAAUAUUCACAAUGAGAUUAUCUAUACUUUUUCUUGAUAAUUCAAUAUAUUUUGAUGAUAUUUCGUAAAAAUAUAUCUAUAACCACAAUUAAAUUAUAUAGAACAUAUUUCAUAUACACAAAAAAUAUAAAAAAUAAUAUGAAAGUCAAAUUUCAAAAAUUUGAUAAAUAUAUAAAAGGUAAAAUUAACUAUUUUCUUAUUUUAUAUAAAAAUAUACUCAAAAAUAAAAAAAAAAAUCUAAAAAAAGAAAUUUUUGUAAACUUAUAACUCUAUAAAUUAAUAAAAUAUCAUAGUCCCAACAUUAUUAAUUUAUAGAGUUUUUACUGUAUUUUUGAUAAAAAAAUAUGACUAUAAUUUAUAAAUAGAAAUUGAUGCCAAAAAAUUAUAAAUAGAAAUGUUACCCCUGAUUUACAGUUCUGACCCACCAUUACAAUAAUGCUGAUCGAUGAUGAUAGGAUAUGCGGCAUCUAUUAAUGUAAUGUUCUCGUAUAUAAUAUUUUUGGCGAACCCUUUGCCUCCCUACAAAAUUACGUAAGGUAGAUGCAGUUAGAUAAAUAUAAAAAUAUAAAAUUUUGCCUUCCUACAAAAUUAUGCAAGAUGCAAUUAGAUAAAUCUAAAAAUAUAAAAAUAUUCAUAUGUAAAUUUAAUUGUUUACAGAAGCUUACAGCCCAAGUUUUGAUUCUUGCCCCAUACAUAGUACCAUUGAAGCUGCAGUGUCUUACUUGCACGUUCUCAACCGUUUCAGUUAGCCCAUCUCUGCCCAAACUUCCAAUACUGCAGUUUUUUUAAGAGAUGUUAACAUCUAAUUUAUUUAUUUUCCAAAAUAAUUCAACCUUAAGAAAAAUCUUUGCAGUGAAAAUAAAAGAUGCCGCUGUAAGAUAUAAAAACUGCAUUCGCAAGUGUGUAAAAUUAAAAUAAUCAAAAUCUAAUAUAUGCUAAACACAUGAAAGAUGUAUAUGACAUUCCUAUUAAAAGCCAAACUAAAAUCUAAAUGUGUGCACCUGCCAUUGUGUUAGUAUCUUCCAUUUCAUAAAAUAUUUUCCCAAUAAAAUCAAUCAAAUUGCAUCAAACUGUAUAUGAUUCUCUUAUAUAGAUGGGCAGUCUAAUCUAUAGUAUAAACAUAUAAUAUAAAUCUAGUAACUAUAAAUCUAACUUUCUAUAGACCAUUAAUAACAUUUUUAACACUUGAACUGAGAACUCUCAGUUGCUUACUCACAUAAUAUUUAACGACAAUUUACAACCAGAGAAAUGCAAGAAAAACAUUUAUAAGACAUAGGUGUGAGAACCUGAUGCCAUGGCCCGGACCACAUGUCACAUGAGUUAUGUUGAUAUCGUGUGAACCACCAUUAAUCGCAACACAAUCGUCACCUAAAACCAUUCCAUAUAUAUAUAUAUAUAUAUAUAAUUUUUUUGUUUUUGAACACCAAAUGCUUUUAUUAAAAUUAAAGAUCCAAUGGAGUAAGUCGGUUACAACUGGAACCGGAGAGAUCAUCGACGGUAAACUAAUAAACAAAAAUAACUAAGAUACGACGAAGGAUAGAUGUGGUUAAAAAGAAAAGAAAUCCAUAGAGAAGUUUUACUUGUAAUCUUAAAGUCUUUCAGUUCCUUGCAAAAGAGUUCAUAUCUAUAAUUAAUAAUUAAGUUGCAUAAUUUUCUUGUAGCUGAACCGUGUAUAGUAGCGUAUAUUGACAAAUAUAUAUUAAAAAUUAAAUACCUGUUUGGAUAGAUGAAUUGAAAAUCUGGACAUUGUUUGAAAGAGCAAUGUCGAUACCAUCACUGUUUGGACUAUCUUUAGGUGCGAUGAGAUGAAGAUUUGAUAAAGUUGCGUUGGUGCAAUUAUAAACUGAAACAUGAUUCUUUGGGCUAUUGAAUUGAGUUAGUCCACUAUAUAUUAUGUCAGCACUUGCAUUAAAUCCAACUGCCUGCAUAAUGAAAAUAAACUAUACAUAAAAAGGUUGCCUAAUAGUCGAAACGUCAAAUAAUCUUGACUGAGUAAGCCCUAAGAAAAAAAACAUUUUUAUAGCAAAAAAAAAAAAUACAGACCCGUGGUCGAUUGGAGUGAUCAACAGACGACCACCAAGCUUCGCCAUGAGGGUGGAGGACACCAGACCCAUUGAGGACGAUACCUUUCACGUUUUUGAAACAUAGCCAGCACCUACCUUCUCCUAUGUCUCCCCACUCUUCAAUCGUUUUUGGCGCCUCAAGUUUCCCAUCAAUCUUGACAAAAUGUCAUAUACAUAAUCACAUUUUAUAAAUAUUGGAAGUAUAUAAUUAUAAACAUAUUUUUAUUUAAGUGUAGAUGCCUGGACCGAUGCCUAUAUAGCCCCUAGGAAAUUGAUAUCGACGAGUAGCUCAAUCUCAAAUUUUCUUUUUUUUUGUGCUACGAAAAUUAUAUUAAAGCAGAAAGGAUAUAGAGCCGAAAACGAAGCCCAAUAUCAAGCAGUUCAAACAAGUACAGAAGCAGAUGAAACUAAGGCUUGUUUACCUAACAGAUCAGUUUUACGGUUCUCAGAUCGUGGAACAAAACAGAAAGAGAUAGAUGCGAAUGCAGAGAAGAUCUGCAUGAUAUCGAAAACGAUACCGAAGAUUUCCUUAAUCUGGGGCCUGUUUUGGAUUGCUCUAAUGAGCGUUUGACAGUCGGAGCAGACCUUGAGGCUAAUGAUGUCGAGAUCUGCAGCUGCUAGAAGACCCGAUUCGAAGCGCGAGAGCUUCGGCCAUGAGAGGUGAACUGACGUUUUUCAGUGCGUAGCGAUCCUUCGUGGAGUUGAUUUGAUGUCAGUGUUGAGAUGAUCCACGCUAGGCCUGCUUUCCUAGUAGUUGAGUUCCAAGACGCGUCGGAGUUGCAUGUCGUAGUUUGCUUGCUACCAUGCAUCGUUCCGGUGAAACUGGGGCCCUUGAGGUAACACUUGUGCUUCUGUGGUAAAUUUUCUUGAGCUUGGAUCCAUUCACGAGCUGAGACUAAACUUCUAAGCAUGACUUCGUUAGGGUUGAGCUUCUUGUCUUCGAAAAUCAGUCUGUUUCUCGCCGUCCAAAGCGACCAGCAGAUCCAAGGAAGGACGGGGGAUGAGAUACCUGACGGUGGAAGACAAGUUACAUGUCGGAACUUUACCAAGACAGCUUGGAAAUCAUCAGUCGCAUCUAUGUAAACUGUCUUUGUGAGGGGAGCUUUUUGCCACACUUCCUGCACGAACGAACAGAGGAAGAAGGCGUGCAUUGGUGUUUCCAGCUCUCCACAUCUUGGACAGGCUACAUUGGUUAGUAUCCUCGUCGUUGUAAAUUUUCACCUAGGGAGAUUGCUCUUUUGAUAAUGGACCAUAGAAACACUCUUAGCUUUGGGGGGCAUUUAGAUGACCAAACCUCCUUUAUCCAAUUGAAUUCUCCCAGGUAUGCAGUAGGUGGGACUUGACGAGGGGUAUUUGCUGCGAGAUUAUACCCAGACUUCGUGGAAUAGAUCCCUGAGGGUAGCGGUUGCCAGAUAUAAACGUCUUUAGCGCAUGACGUGCUCGGUUUUAGUGAUUGGAUUUGAUCACUCAGCUCAGGUAACACUUCUUCUAUCCUCUGUUUGUUCCAGCGUAUGUUGCUUGUAAGCAAGUCUGAUACCCUGAGGUUUAGUGCAUUCUCAUUGAUAGGUCCGUAUGGUUUUAGGUUUGAGUCAAGGGAGAUCCAAGAAUCUUUUCAGACGCUUGUGGUCUGACCAUUUCCUAUAGCCAUUCCCAAUAUUGUCUCGUAGGAGAUUUCGACCAUGUAGAAUCCCUCUCCACCCGUGGGAACAAGUAGAGGGUAAAUUCACAUUUAGGAAACUCUCUUUAUGGCAAUAUUUACCCUUUAGGACUCUGGCUAGGAGGCAGUAUGGAACUGUUAUGAUUCUCCAAGCUAGCUUUGCGAGUAGAGCUUGGUUGAAGAGUUGGAUGUCUCGUAGUCCCAGACCUCCCAACACCUUAGGUUUUGCCAAGUUGUCCCAUGAAACCAAACACAUACUUCUUUUCUCACUAGAAGAGUCCCACCAAAAUCGAGUUAAAGCUGAUUGUAUUCUUUUGCAGAGGCUGAGAGGGAGCUCGAAACAAGACAUCAUGUAGGAUGGUAUAGCUGUAAGGACAUAUUGCAGCAUUGUGGAAGCGUGUGGACCAGUUAGCUGCACACUGCCUUAUUCUAUCAACAAUCGAGGUAAAUAAAUCCUUCUUUCUUCUACCAAAAUGUUCAUGUUCUGGCAACCGUAGAUACUUUCCAACCCCUCCCUCUCUAGUGAUCCAUAUGAUGUGUUUUGCUGCUGUCUUUACUUCUUGUGGUGUCUUACUGGAAAAAUUAAUAAAUGAUUUGGCAGUAUUAACUUUUUGGCUUGACAAUGCUUCGUAAUCCAGUAGGAGCUUUGAUAGUGUCAAAUUUUCUAAAUGUAAUCUAAAACAUUGCUCCAUGUCGCUUGACUAAACAAAUGACAACUUAGUACCAGGAAUCAAACCCAAGACUUAUGGGUUUACGUCUUGUCCCAAAUUUUUCUCUUAUCACGAGACUACGUACCACGAGAGGCGGACCUACGUUAGAGGAAGGGGUGUCAUCUGACACGGGUUAAAUCUUAGCUCAUUUGGUCAAUUUCCUUAAUAUCUGACACAACUUUCCCUAGUUCAACCCAGCCCUCAUACAUAUUUUUUGUUUGUUUUCUUUUCUAUAAGAAUUAUGUUGGACUUUGACACCCCUUAAAAUCAAACAUGGGUCCGCCACCACCGCUUGAUUAAAUGUAUACAGACAUAUAAAAAUGUGAACCUUUUAUUUGCAUGUAAAAGCACAAACAGAAAAGCAAGAUUUGAAAUAAUGAAACCUUAUAUAAUCUCCACAUCAUUGUUUUUGACAAAUACCUGAAUAUGAAUAGCACGAGACACACAAGGACCUAGAAACCGUUGUGGUUGUAUAGUAUAUGUUUCAUUGGCAUGAAUUACUAGAGAUGUUGCCUCAUCUUUUCCAUCUGCUCUGCAUAAUGCUUUCCAUGCAUCUCUAAACGCCUGUAAGAAGAUCUUCUUGUUAACGUAGGUUAUUUUAUAUUAGAAAUCAAAAUGAAAAUAGUUAAUGACAAAAAAAAGAUUACUUGAGAAUAAUCAGUGUUUUUAUUGUUAGCAUCCGCUGUAAAAUCCUUGAUGCUUAGAGUCAUCCGACCGUCUCCGUAUUGUAAAUGGCACGACAUAAUUAAAAUAACGGAAAAUAGUAAUUUCAAAUCCUGAGAAUAAAAAUAAAAUAUAGUCAUUACAUUUUAUUUGAACAAAAGAAAAAUGAAACAAUGGCUUAGGACCCAUUUAGUUUCACCAUCCUCUAACAAAAGGCAAAAAAAGUAGUGACAAUAGAACGAAGAAUGAGCAGAUUUUUUUUUUUUGGUAAAAAGAAUGAGCAGAUUUUAGUGGUAGAAUCCCGCAGAAUGAGCAGAUUUUAUCGAGAAAGAGUAUAUUUUCUCACCAUUAUAAUCUUAAUAAGAAAAAAGUUAGAUGCUUUUCAAAGUAUAAGAUAUUAAGUAGGUUGUGAAAUUGUGUGUUGUGCACUAACUAUAUAUAUGCUGUUUUACUUGUCAAAGUCUUGCAAUCUAUUAUUCAACUUUAUAUAUUACUAUAUAUUACUAGAGAAUAGAGAUUGAUCCGCGCAGCCGCCCGGUAUUGAUUUUCACUUUUUAUUUGUUGAUAUUUAUUUUUCAUGUAAACUUUAUAUAUUACUAUAUUAGACAUGUCAUCAUAUAAAUAAUCAUAUAUUGUUACAUCUACAAAACACAUUGUGUAAUGUAAAUGUGAUAAUUUAACUUUGUGUUUAAAAUUGACCUUUGAAUCGUAUAUUUCUUACAACAUAUUGAUUAUAUUUGUUUAAUGAUGGUUUUUUAUUGGACAUAUAUUAGUAAUAAUCCAUUUUUUUAUAUAUAUUUUGAUACCAACAACCUAUUUAAUUUGUACUUACUUUUAAUACUCUUUAUAUCUGUAUAAUAUAAAAUAGGAAAAUUAGCUCCACUAACUACUUCCUAAACUGACGUCAAAAAAAAAAAACUACUUCAAAAACCACAUCCUUAUUCAUAGUAUAAAAUCCUUUAGUAACAAAAAUCAUCGUUGAUACAAAAAUUGCUUUACCAAACAUCUAAUACUUUAAGUUUGGUGUGAAAUUGUUAAAUUUUAAACUUGAUAAUACUCAAAAUUUUCAGUGUUUUAAUAUUUUAAUACAUUGUAUAAUUCGUGGCAUUGUUAUAAAUUACCAACUUAUAAAAUUAGGAAUCAUUCUUUAAAUAAGUUUUUAAAGCUAUAAUAAAAAAAUGACUGUAAAACUUAUAUUUACUAACUUAAUAUUUUAUGUGUUGUAGAAAAAUUAUGCAGCUACAUUUACAGACAAAAUUUUACAUCAAAAAAUUUAAAACUAUAUCUCAAACUAGUAGAGUCAAUAGUUCAACAUUUAGGCUGUAACAUUUAGCAACAAAAAAAAAUCUUUAACCCAACAUUCCAACAAGUGCUUUCCAAACCAAGCUAGAUAGUUUCCUAGACACAUGGUUCUCUGUAUAGAUUCAUAUGGAAUUAGCACGACCCGGCGAUCAAAAAACAUUUCUUUCUUAUAAACAACUGCAAAAGAACCGAAAUCAGAGGCCUCCGUCUGUCAAUCAAAUGGCAUUAGAGUAGGAGGUUUUCCUUUGUUAAAAAUCCAAAAGAGAUAAGAGUUUUACAACCAAUAAUCUCAAACUGAAUCAUCACCAUUAUCAAAAGAGAAGUACCAAUAAAAUAUAUCUUUUAGUUUUCCGAAUUAUUUACACUUUCAUGCCACCGACGUUAUUAAUUAACAUACCUUUUAAUUUUUUUUCUUUUUUUUAAUUAAUGCAUUUCCUAAUCAAAUUCUAACAAAACAAUUAUAGCAACAAUAAUUAAUAAAUCUAGCUUUUAGUAUUCUUUGUCUUUUAGUAUUUUAUUAAAUAUAUAUGUGUGUUUGGAAAUAAUUAAGAAACCUAGCUUUAAAGUUAAUGAACAAUAUUGUUUUAAAAGCUAAUAUAAUUAUAUUUUUAUUAUUUAUUAGAAAUAACUAAAAUAAAAGUCACAUAAAAAAGAUUCAUUUAUAUAACAUAUAGAUGAAUAUAUAAAUAUAUUGUGUUAAGUAUAUUUUGAUAUAAAUAAUAGUCCAAUAUAAAUUCAGUAUGAUAAAUGUUGAAAAGUAUAAAAUAUAUAGUAACAUGUAUUAUAAAUAGUAUAUAGAACAAUUUAUUAUAUAUUAUCAUAAAAUUUUGAUCCAUAGAAAAAAAAUUUUGUGCGGAUAUAAAGUCAUACUGUAAAAAUAUGGAUGACAGAAUCGAUGGUUUAUUAUAAAAUUUUGAUCCACAGAAAAAAAAAUUGUGCGGAUAUAAGGUCAUAUUGUAGAAAUAUGGAUGAUAGAACUGAUGGUUUACAAGAUAAAAUAAAACUACUCAAUACAAACUAUAAAAUUAUUAUGUUUAAAAAUGUCAUAAAAACAAUUGUUUAAACAAGUAAAUAUUUAUUUAUAAGAAAUUAAAAACAAACAUCCGCGCGGGUGCAUGGAUCAAGUUCUAGUUUAUUUUAAAGUCUGAUUAAUUAUGUUAUUAUAAAUUAUGGAAAAUACUAUAUAAACUUUUUUUACAACAGAUAAUUCUAUUUGUCUUAUGAAAUUCAUGUUUGAAUGUAUCAUUCUGAACCAUCCUAUAAAAUUUACUUUUAACGGUACAUCUUGUAUUAUGUUGAAAUCUCAUGUAACUUUUUCCUCUAUAAUAUAUUAUUAGACUUUGAUCCGCGCUACCGCGCUGAUAUAUUUUUCAAAUAUAUGUUUCUAUUUGUUUUUCAUGUCAAUAAUAUAAGGGCUAGGUAAAAUAUCCGAAUCUGAAGAACCGAAUCAAACUCGAUCCGAAAAAGUAGUACCAAACCCAAACCGAAAUUGAUUAAAUAUCUGAAUUAAUCAAAAUUUUGGUUUUUGGAGAACCGAAACCGAAUCCGAUCCGAACCGAAGUAUUCCGGGUACCCGAACGUAACCGAAAUAGAUUUAUAUACUUAUAUAUAUAUUAAUUAUUUUUAGAUUUAAUAUAUAUAUAUAUAUAUAUAACAUCUAAAAUAUAUAUGAUACUUUUAAGUUGGUUUAAAUACUUGAAAAUAUAUACAAAUAAUCAAUAGUAAAUAUAUAAAAUAGUAAAAGUAUACUUAAAACACCAAAAAUACUUAAAAUAAUUAUUGAUUCUCUAUCCAAAUAUUUGAACUAAAGUAAUUUAUAUGUUAAGUUUAGGUAUUCUGACAUAUGUUAUUCAAAUUUAUAUUUAAUAUAUUAUUUUGUUUAUAGUUUUUGAGAAAUUUCAAGUAUAUAAAUAUAUAAUGAAUAUUAAAAUUUUAUACUUAAUUUAAAUGGGUUAUCAGAACUCAAACUGAACCCGCACAAAUUUGAUGCGAACCCAAACUAAAAUUUAGAAAUAUUAGAAUGAAACUGAAAUCUUUGACCUUGGAAACCCGAAACUCAAACAGACCUAAACUGAACACGAUUAGGUACCAGAUAGAUAGUUUCUCAUAAUAUAAUGGACUUCUAAAUUUUCUUAAGAAUAUAAGCCCAUUAUUUUUUUUCUCUUAAUAUACUGUUAUCCAUGUUUCCAAACAGACCUAUUUUUUAAAACUACAAUAUAUGUUUCUAAACAAAUCUCUUUUUUAAAACUGUAAUCCAUGUUUUCAAACAAACAUUUUUUUAAAUUACAAUCUAUGUUUCCAAACAAUUUUACAUGUUUUCAAACAAACUUAAUUUGUACAUGAGUUUUAAUAAGAUAGAUUUGCAUUUUAUGAGAUUUGAAUCUAAAUGUGUGGUGUAAAAAUAUUAAUGGAUAAUUAUUUAAAUUGAUCGAUAAAAGGGACUUCUACAAAAGACAGAAAGGAGUAGUGUUAUUAUUUAUUUUUUUGUCAACGAAGGAGUAGUGUUAUAUAAACAAAUAUUUAGAGUAUAUUAGUUGUCGGUAGAUCUCAGCCAUUAUAAACGCCAAAUAAUAAUUGUUACGUAAUGAUUCUCUCUGUAGAUCUCAGCCAUUAAACGCAGAAAAUUAUUUAUUAUAUUUUUCUGACUCGAAAAUAAAAUAAAUCAAAGCUUUAAUAACAUUAUAUAUGCCUGACAGAUGUGACACAUGUUAAUCUGUAAGACAUCACGUUUAUUGGGAUGAUUGGCAUCACGUUUAAGAAAUGAUUGGCAUCACGUUUAUGGAACGUUAUGGAGUACUGCUUAGGGUCAACGACUCAACGCCCAUAACUUACACACGUGUGACAGAAAAGCAUACUGCUAUUUAGGUUUCUGCGUUGUCAAGUUGCAUAAUGAAGAGUUUGACAGCCAAAUUAUUUACAAAAAUCAAUAAAAAAUAAAAUAUUUUUCAAGUUUUGUAAUUCCUUUUGCUUUUUUUUUUUGUUUAAGUCACCACAACAAAUAAGAGAAUAUACUUUGAAUAUUCUUAUAUUUAGUUUUAAAUUAAAUAUUUGAAACUUAAACGAUCAAAGUUUAAAAAAAUGUUGUUAACAAAAUCCUAAAUUUUUAGCAAAAAAAAAUAACUAAAAAACAAAAUCCUAUAUUUUAUGAUUAUAAAGAAAUCAGUUAAACUAAAUAAUAAAUAGAUUUUAAAAUUGGGGGAUUUUACAGAUUCAAAACUUGAUUUUGAAUACAAAAGUGUACCCAAAAUUUAAUCAAAUGCAAAAGUAACCCAAAAACGUAUUGAAAUUACGACAGUCCCCUUAUGAACAAACAAAAAACAUAUAUUCAGUUUACCAUUAUAACCCUCCGUUAGAGAAGAAGUCUUCUCUAUGAUGACUUAUUUGUAAGUCUUCUCGUUCAGUAGAUCUUAAAAAUAAGUUUAUAAUUUUAUAAAAAUUAUUUUGAUGCAUAAAAAAUUGAAAUCAUGUAAUAAUAAAUAUUUUUCAAUGAUGUAAAUUUAGUUCAUCUGAAAUUGAUAUGAGUGAAUGUAUAUUGGUUCAUGAUGCAUUGGUUUAGGGUUUGGUAACAUAUUUUAUAGUAUUGUAUGUAUAUUUAAGGUUAGAUUCUGAAAUCUUACCUUCAUUUUUUUUUUAAAUUUACAUAUAUAUGUUUAAUAAGUAUCUAAUAACUUGAUUUAAACAUUUUCUAAGUUUCUUUUAAGUUUAAAAAAGUGUUUUUGCAUAGUUAAUUAAUUUUAGGGUCUGGAAGACUCACAAAAUACUUAAAAAGAAGUUUUCCGACACAUUCUGCCUAAAUUUUAGUAGAAUUUUGGGUUCCCGCCUAAAUUUUAGAAAACUUUAGGUUUCCCGCCUAAAUCAAAAUCUUCCAUAAGUCAUCUAGGAGUCUUCCAGAGAAAGUCUUCUUAUAGAUUAGAUCUUAAAAAUAAUAAAUAAAUUUUAUAAAAAAUAUUUUCAAAGGGAAAAAGUCAAAAUCAUGUAUUAAUAAACAUUUCUAAAAGAUGGAAAUUUAGUUUUACUGAAAUUGAAUUAUUUUUAACAUAGAUGAGUGAAUCUAGAUUGAGUCAUGAUAUCAUUUGGUUUAGGGUAACGUAUCAUAUGUUGUAGUAUUGUUUCUAUUUUUAGGGUGAGAUUUUAAAAUCUCAUCUUAUUUUUUUUUAUAAAUUGACCUAUAUGAGAUUAGUAACUAUCUAAUAACUUGAUUUAAACACUUUCUAAAUAUCUUAAAAGUUUAAGAAAGUGUUUUUUGCUUAGUUAUUUGAUUAUAGGGUCUGGAAGACUCACAAAAGCUGACAUAUCCUGCCAACAUUUUAGUAGAAUUUAGGGUUCCCGCCUAAAUCGAAGUCUUCCAGAAGACUUUCCGAAGUCCGAAGUCUUCUAGGGAAAGUAUUCUCAUGUAUUAGAUCUUAAAAAUAAUUAAUCAAUUUAAUAAAAAAUAUUUUGAAAGAGAAAAAAUAGAAAUCAUGUAUUAAUAAACAUUUCAAAACGAUAAAAAUUUAGUUUUACUAAAUUUGAAUUAUUUUUAACAUAGAUGAGUGAAUGUAGAAUUAGUCAUAAUAGCAUUUAGUUUAGGGUUUGUUAACAUAUGUUAUAGUAUUGUUGGUAUUUUUAGGAUUAGAUUUUGGAAUCUUAACUUUAAAAAACUUGUUUUGACCUCCAUAUGUUUAGUUUUGUGUAUACUAAACACUUUAUAAGUUGAUUAUAAGUUUAAUGAAUUAUUAUUUGCUAUUUAAUUAGUUAUUUGAUUAGGUUAUGGUUUGGAAGACUUCCGGAAGACUUCACAAGAAGACUUCCCAAGAAGUCUUCUGACAUAUUCCCAUCUAAAUUUAGUAUAAUAUAGUAUAUUCCCAAGCAUUUUCGAACAUGGCCCUUGUCUUAAUUUUUGUAGUCUUAGACCAGUAAGUGGAAUGAAGGAAAUCAGUUAGAAAGUGAAUUCAGAAACCACAAAUGGAUAGAAAAUAUAAUUUGUGUACUCUGAAUUUAUGUCUGAGUUCCGUAUUUGUUUGUUACUGAGAAAUUAAUCGAUGAUCAUAAAAAGCGCUUUUAAAGAGAACCUGAUAACUGCUUCUGCUAGAGGAAGUUAUAAAUUACAAUGUAGUUAGUGUUUUAAUAUAAUUAUAUGCAGUUAUAUAAAAAUCAGUUUUUUAAAAAAAAUUGGACUCAAUUAAUAUCAAUGGGGCAUGUUCUUGUUUUAAUAGUAUUGAUUCUAAAAAGCUAUAGAUUCAACCUAUCGUGACUGUUUUGUUUAUUAUUUAAGGAUAAAAUUAUAUUUUUGAAGUUUUUAUCUGUUUUGAGGCCAUUUGAAUGUAUUUAUAUUGGCAGGUUUUCCAGAUCUGAGACUGACUUUGAAAGACUUAUCAGAAGACUCACGGAAGACUUCUAGACAAGUCUUCUAAUGCAUUUUAUGCUAGAAGAUUUCCCACAAAGUCUUCAGGAACUCUUCUGCCCAAAAUGGUACAAAUUUUGGAUAUGUAUUUUUUGUGUUUUAUACAUUGGAUUAUAGAAAGUUAUAAAUUCAAUCUAAUGUGACAAUUUUUUGUUUAUUAUUAAGCAUAAAAAUGUGUUUUUGAAGUUUUCUCUUUUUGAAGCUAUUUGAAUGCUUUUGAAUAUAUAAAAUUUUCAGAUCUAAAUCAGAUUUUGGAAGACUUCUCAAAAGACUCUUGGAAGACUCUCGGAAAACUUUUUGGGAAGUCUUCUAAUGCAUUUUAUGCUAGAAGACGUCCCACGAAGUCUUCAGGAAGUCUUCCAAUGUUUGAAUAUGCAGAUUUUUCAGAUAUGAGUUAGUCUUUGGAAGAUUUCUCAGAAGACUCUUGGAAGACUCUCAGAAACUCUCGGAAGACUCUUGGAAGACUCAGAAAUUCUCGGAAGACUCUUGGCAGACUUUUUCGGAAGACUCUUGGCAGACUCUCGGAAGACUCUUGGAAGUCUUCUAAUGUAUUUGAUAUCACUCAAAUUAUUCCAAAGAGUGAAUUACUCUCUCAAAUAAGAGGUUCGGAUGUAGUACUUAGGGAUCAAAUCCACAAAGACUCUAGGAUUACACAGUAGAUUAUGGUCUUGAAAUAAAUCUAGAUUAAUUGGUUUAUAAGUUUUAAAACAGUAAAUGGAUUGGUGAGCAAGUUUAUUGCUUGAUUGAUUUGUUUUGAGGUUGUUAACAGUUUAGAAAAAUAGCUAGAUUCAGGUAUGUUAAGUAAUACUUAAAGUGGUUUUUAGGGGUUUAUUGAUGUUAAUUAUUCUUGAAUUCAAACUAAGAUAUAAUCAAUCUGAUUAUCUAAUAUGGAUCUUGUAUUUCAACUCUCGUAUGUUAAUCACGAGAAAGUGUCGAUCGAUAAUUCUUUACGAAUAUCGAUCGAUACACCUUUCAAAAAUCGAUCGAUACACCUUUCAAAAAUCGAUCGACAGGGCUAUCGCUGCAUCGAUUGAUACUUCUUCCAGAAAGCUUUACGUAUGGGUUUGAUUUAUAUUCUCUAACCCACAAGACCAACUCUCGUCUGUAUCUAGUUCGUUAGAUCAUACUAGUUAAUUUCAGGUAUUUAGUCAAACAAUGGCUUGAUCUCAAUUAAUCCUAAGAUCUUUGUUUAAAGGGUGAUCAAUCCUAAACUUAGCUUAGCACAACUAGAUGAAGAACUACGACUGAAGGGUGAUCAAUCCUAAACUCUGCUAUUUACUAUUUAAGAUCUUUGUUUAAAGGGUGAUCAAUCCUAAACUCUGCUAUUUACUAUUUAAUUGUUUGUCUAGCUUAGUCAUAAUCUGGUUAAGAUCUAUUGUGUGUCUUAGAUCCUUGUGGAUUUAAUUCAUAAGUACUACGACUGAACCUCUUAUUUGAGAGAGUAAAGAUCUUUGAUCACCCUUUAAGAUCUUUGUUUAAAGGGUGAUCAAUCCUAAACUCUGCUAUUUACUAUUUAAUUGUUUGUCUAGCUUAGUCAUAAUCUGAUUAAGAUCUAUUGUGUGUCUUAGCUCCUUGUGGAUUUGAUCCAUAAGUACUACGACUGAACCUCUUAUUUGAGAGAGUAAAGUCGUUACUUGGGAUAAUUUGAGUGAUAUCAGUAUGCAGAUUGGGUGUUUACUAUAGAUAAAAGUCAAGGAAAGUAAAGCUCCCAUGAUUUUUCCCAAGUAUUUUUCAAGGUUGGUCUCUUAUAUCUAACUACGGAGCACACCGGUUGGGAGCACAUCUGGGUGGUUUGGAGGGGAUGAUGUAAAGAUCACACCAGUGUUUCAGAGUGAUCAAGUGAUCACUGUUUCAAUACUCUUAAAUGGCAACAUUGACGAGUUUUUUUGUUCGUUUGUUUACGCUUCUAAUGGUGUAGAGGAGCGAAAACAGUUAUGGGAUGAUCUCCAACAUCACCAUAACUCAAGUAUGUUUCAGAAUAAGUUAUGGAUGGUAUGUGGUGAUUUCAAUGAGACCUUGCAGGGUCAAGAACACUCGAACUAUAUUGAUGACCAGCACACAACAAUGGAAAUGAUGGAUUUCCAAAAUGUUGUUCGAGAUUGUUCAUUGGUGGAUCUGAAAUACCAUGGGCCACCGUAUACAUGGUGCAAUAAGCGAUAUAUGGGGCUCAUUUGCAAGAUACUUGAUAUAUUUCUUGUGGAGAGGUAUCCCAACUCAUACUGUGUUUUUGAAUCAGGUGGUUGCUUUGAUCACUUGAGAAGAAGAACCACGGUGGAAGUAGAGGAGGUAAGAAAAUUCAGGCCCUUCAAAUUUGCAAAUGUUCUAACUCAACUCAAACACUUUCCAUAGGUGAUUUAGAGUCAUUGGGAUGGAAAUGCACCUCUGUACAUCUCAAUUUCCGCUAUGUUUCGGUUCUCAAAUAUACUGAAGGAACUGAAACCGAAGUUAUGCCAAUUGGGGAAGGAGGUUUUGGGUGCUCUUCCCAAACGCACAAAAGAGCGUACACUAACUGAUCCUCAACUAGAGUUGGUUCGGGAAGAAACAUAAGCCUAUGAGAAAUGGAAGUUGCUUUCAGCUAUGGAGGAACAAUUCCUUAAACAGAGAUCAAAGUUGCAUUGGAUGAUUGUAGGUGAUCAAAACAAGUCGUACUUUUUUAUAAAAUGGCGCUGAUUCGUAGGAUGCGUAAUAUGAUCAGAGAAAUGAUCGACCAUAAUGGGGUACUACUGAAAACAGGGGAAGAGAUCAAAGCUGAGGAGGAGAGAUUUUUUCAAGAGGUUUUGACUAAUGAACCAACUGACUAUCAGGGUAUGCCAGUGGGAAAACUGGAAGGUCUUUUUCAGUUUCGAUGUGGGUCAGAGGACAUUGCUCAUCUUGAGCAGGAGGUGACGAAAGAAGAAAUUCAAGAAAACAUUAUUUGCUAUGCCAAAUGAUAUAAAUCUCUCGGGUCUGAUGAAUUCACAAGUGAGUUUUUUAAGGCUUCCUGGGAAAUUUUCGGAAAUGACUUCACAGUGGCAAUCCAGUCUUUUUUUUUAUCAAAGGCUUUCUUCCAAAAAGAGUAAACUCAACAAUACUAGCUCUGAUUCUUAAGACAACAGAGGUGCGAUUCAUGAAAGAUUACAGGCCGAUCUCCUAGUGUAAUGUUAUGUAUAAGGUUAUCUCAAAAAUCCUAGCAAACUGACUGAAGAAAUUCUUCCAAAUUAAGUUCAUUACUCAAAACCAGUCUCCUUUUGUCAAAGAGAGAUUGUUGACGGAGAAUGUGUUACUUGCAACAUAGAUAGUGCAAGACUAUUAUAAAGAGGAUUAGGGCCGGUUCAAUGGUGUCAUGGGCCCUGGGCAAAAAAAGUUCUAAUUUUCAAUCUAAUAAUUUAAAAAAAAAAAUCUGAUAGAUAUUUGUUUUUUCUUAAAAUACCAGAAGUAUUUUUAAAAGUAAAAUUAUGAUAAAAUAAAAAAAUACUUUCAUAAAAAAAAGUUGGGCCCUUUUUAUUUUUAAUAUAAAAAUACAUGUAUUUUUUUUUAAAAAAGAACUCUUAUCUAUUAAGAAAUAGGUGGACAACAGAUUGGAUCCGCAGCGGUCGCACCGCUUGUCCCUCUAUCUAAGCCGGCUCUGAAGAGGAUAUUUCACCAAGAUGUUGCAAUGAAAAUUAUUUCAAAAGAUUUUGAUUCGGUGCAAUGGGAUUUUGUUUUAAACACUCCUCUGCUUUAGGUUUCCCGCCUAAGUACAUACACUGAAUCAGCUUUGCAUCACGAGAGCCUCUUUUUCAGUCCAAGUUAAUGGAGAGCUUGUAGGUUAUUUUCAGAGCAAAAGAGAGUAACGCCAAGGCUGUGCUCUAUCACCAUAUCUCUUUGUUAUGUGUAUGAAUGUUCUAUCUCAUUUGAUAGACAAAGAGGCAACUGAAAGAUGGAUUGGGUUUCAUCCCAAGUGCAAGAACAUUAGCUUAUGAUCUUAUGGUUUUUGUCGAUGGGCAGAGAAGGUCAGUUGAAGGUAUCAUUAAGGUGUUUGAUGAGUUUGCAGUAGCUUCAGGAUUAAAAAUCAGCAUCGAAAAAUUAACAAUAUACCUGGCGGGUUGUAUGGAUCAAAACCGAGAGGAUAUUCUUGCGACAUUUCCUUUCCAACUUGGUACCUUGUCCGUGAAGUACUUAGGUCUGCCUAUUCUCACCAGAAGAAUGACAAGAUCAGAUUAUGAGCCUCUUGUAGAAAAAUCAGACGAAAAAUGAGAGCAUGGACUGGUCGUUACCUAUCAUUGGUGGGCAGAUUACAGUUCUUAAGUUGGGUGAUCAUGAGCAUUGUCAACUUCUGGAUCGCAGCAUACCGCUUGCCUCAGAGUUGGAUAAAAGAAAUAGAGAAGCUAUGUGCAGCUUUCUUGUGGCCACACCCUGAUCUAAACCUCAGGAAAGCGAAGGUAGCAUAGUUGGAGAGGACUGAUAUCUCUUCAGGAAGCAAACAUAGUUAGCUGCCUAAAACUUAUAUUAUCUCUGGAAAAAGCACACUACGGACGCAGUGGAUCAAAGCGUUGGUUCUGGGUGAGAAAGCAAUCUGGACAGUAAAGGAUCAAUCAAAUAAGGGUUCCUGGAUGUGGAAGAAGCUUCUCUAGAGAUAUAAAGGAGAUAAGUUUAAAUCUACCUUCACCACUAAGGCGACUUAUGAUCUGAUCAGGGACAAAGAUGUUUGGUUUUCUAAAAGUAUGCUUUUCUUACUUGGCUAGCAAUGAAAAAUAUAGACUAUCUACAGGGGAUCGUAUUGACAAAAUACGGAUUGUGUGUUAUGUGGAUCAUCUCGUGAAACCCGCAAUCACCUUUUCUUUUAGUGAAGAAUAUUUGGACAUCUAUCAUGUCAACUUUUCUGGAUCAAAAGUUCAUUAGCGGAUUGGGAUAUGGUCCACUUCUUCACGCCUUUCAGAACCAAAGCAUCAAAAAGAAAAAAAGUAAACAUCGUAACAUAUAAAACAACAUUGCCAUCAUCAAGCAUAGAAAUAUUCGAAAGCAUCAAAUCUUUACAACCAAACCCAUAUGCUUUUUUCACUCUUCGACUCAUUUCUUCUCCCAAAAUUUUUGUCGAACAUACUUUAUAUAAAUAUAUCGCUUCCCCUUAAUUAAUGCAAGAUGAGUCUUGAGAUAUAGUAAAUCUUAAUGCUCAACAGAAACCACUUCAGAUACCUUAAUGGACUCGGCUCUGUCUUCAUCCAUCCUUGGAGAUACAAUCUCAUGAGAUGAUACAGUCACUUGUGCUUCCUCUUCUAUGAGAUGUGAAGACAGUUUUGAAGUUUCUGCAUCUUUUUCAGGUUUCACCUUUGCUGAUGUUG